RNAcentral lists this ribosomal RNA (507 nucleotides) under uncultured Glomeromycotina. Its description in RNAcentral is "partial small subunit ribosomal RNA". It matches the Rfam family "Eukaryotic small subunit ribosomal RNA", at positions 591 to 1092 of the family's 1831-position model. Lineage: Eukaryota; Fungi; Glomeromycota. The record is from RNAcentral.
CCAAUAGCGUAUAUUAAAGUUGUUGCAGUUAAAAAGCUCGUAGUUGAAUUUCGGGAUUGACGUGAUGGUCAUGCCUUAAGGGGUAUGAACUGUUACUGUUGAUUUCUCACCUUCUGGAGAAACUUGAUGUCCUUUAUUGGGUGUCUUGCGGAUCCAGGACCUUUACCUUGAAAAAAUUAGAGUGUUUAAAGCAGGCAUUUUUGCUCGAAUACAUUAGCAUGGAAUAAUAGAAUAGGACGGCAUGGUUCUAUUUUGUUGGUUUCUAGGAUCACCGUAAUGAUUAAUAGGGAUAGUUGGGGGCAUUAGUAUUCAAUUGUCAGAGGUGAAAUUCUUGGAUUUAUUGAAGACUAACUACUGCGAAAGCAUUUGCCAAGGAUGUUUUCAUUAAUCAAGAACGAAAGUUAGGGGAUCGAAGACGAUCAGAUACCGUCGUAGUCUUAACCAUAAACUAUGCCGACUAGGAAUCAGACGAUGUUAAUUUUUUAAUGACUCGUUUGGCACCUUGCG